GAUAACCAAACCACCGUACUCCAUAUGCCUCAAAACUCAAAUCAUUGCUGCGCACAUUGCACCCUCUGUGCACCACCAGGCAUUUCAUCAUCUUCAUCAUAAGCUUCUUGAGCUUGUUGCUGCUGUUUCCUUCUCAUCUCCUCUUCAAUGUUGACAUCAUGCAGAGUUGUCUCUUCACAUUCAUCCAACUCCAUAUCUGUCAUCUGCAUGGAAGGCUUAGGUGGCAGCACCCCCUCCAACGCCUUACACUGCUCAGGUGACAAAGAUUCCGGGAACUCCACAGUAAAGUGGAUGUACAGCUUCCCCUUCAUGAAUGGCCUCUGAUACAUUGGCAUACCCUCGUCAUUUAUCGCCUUGAAUUGAUCUACACAAACAAUGAUCAUAAAAUAACAAUCAGAAUCAGAC
This 405-nucleotide long non-coding RNA is filed under the name Lactuca sativa (garden lettuce). RNAcentral's name for it is "long non-coding RNA (LSAT_LNC001872)". The record is from RNAcentral. Lineage: Eukaryota; Viridiplantae; Streptophyta; Magnoliopsida; Asterales; Asteraceae.